GAACGCCGGAUGAGUUGGAAACUCUCAUGUCCGGUGUGAAGCAGGGGAAAAGAUGGAGAUAGUAUCAAAAUCUUACCUAUUGCUAU
RNAcentral lists this non-coding RNA (86 nucleotides) under Anaerospora hongkongensis. The record is from RNAcentral. Lineage: Bacteria; Bacillati; Bacillota; Negativicutes; Selenomonadales; Sporomusaceae.